UCCCUGGUGGUCUAGGGGUUAGGAUUUAGCACUUUCACUGCUACAGCCCUGGUUCGAUCCCUGGUCUGGGAA
Molecule: transfer RNA, 72 nt
Organism: Sus scrofa (pig)
Lineage: Eukaryota; Metazoa; Chordata; Mammalia; Artiodactyla; Suidae
Rfam family: tRNA
About the family: Transfer RNA (tRNA) molecules are approximately 80 nucleotides in length. Their secondary structure includes four short double-helical elements and three loops (D, anti-codon, and T loops). Further hydrogen bonds mediate the characteristic L-shaped molecular structure. tRNAs have two regions of fundamental functional importance: the anti-codon, which is responsible for specific mRNA codon recognition, and the 3' end, to which the tRNAs corresponding amino acid is attached (by aminoacyl-tRNA synthetases). tRNAs cope with the degeneracy of the genetic code in two manners: having more than one tRNA (with a specific anti-codon) for a particular amino acid; and 'wobble' base-pairing, i.e. permitting non-standard base-pairing at the 3rd anti-codon position.
Source: Rfam